Molecule: ribosomal RNA, 318 nt
Filed under: Triticum aestivum (bread wheat)
Lineage: Eukaryota; Viridiplantae; Streptophyta; Magnoliopsida; Poales; Poaceae
Description: partial small subunit ribosomal RNA
Source: RNAcentral
AUGUGGUUGUGCCGCGAAACGGCGAUCAUGCACGCCGGCAUGUCAGCCACGAGCCAGUGUUGCGUAACGAAGUGGAGCAACCGGAGUAGCCUAUGGUGGUGUGGAAUCAAUCGUCAGCGUAUUGAUGGUGUCCGCCAAAACAUCAAACUCGAGGAUCAGAACAUCAAUCAUUUUGCCAAAAUUCACCUCGACUGCAUCAUGACAUUGUUUGACGUAGUUGCAUGUGUGGUCAAAAUCAUCCCAAAUAUUUUUAGGAAUGCCAUUCGCAUACGUCUAAUCAUCCCGAAUAUUUUUAGGAAUGCCAUUCGCAUACACUAA